GAGACCCACGCCCACAGUUGCCAGCGUACUCUCUGGAGUGACGGGUACACUGUGGGGACCGCCGCUGCUAAAGCGGAGGAAGGUGCGGGCUACGGUAGGUCAGUAUGCCCCGAAUCAUCCGGGCUACACGCGGGCUACAAUGGUUGGGACAAUGGGCACCUACACCGAAAGGUGAUGGUAAUCUCCUAAACCCAGCCCUAGUUCGGAUUGAGGGCUGCAACUCGCCCUCAUGAAGCCGGAAUCCGUAGUAAUCGCGUAUCAAUAUCACGCGGUGAAUAC
RNAcentral lists this ribosomal RNA (279 nucleotides) under uncultured methanogenic archaeon. Its description in RNAcentral is "partial 16S rRNA". It matches the Rfam family "Archaeal small subunit ribosomal RNA", at positions 1047 to 1325 of the family's 1478-position model. The record is from RNAcentral. Lineage: Archaea; Methanobacteriati; Methanobacteriota.